This 25-nucleotide non-coding RNA is filed under the name Cricetulus griseus (Chinese hamster). Lineage: Eukaryota; Metazoa; Chordata; Mammalia; Rodentia; Cricetidae. The record is from RNAcentral.
AUUGAGAAGGCAUGUGCGGACGAUG